CGAGUCCCUGUGUCUGAGUGCCAGGAGAUGGGGAAGGUCCCUGGGUGUCAUGUGUGCAGGAGACCGGGGAGUCCCUGUGUGUCGUGUGUGCAGGAGACUGGGGAGGUCCUGUGUGUCGUGUGUGCAGGAACGGGGAGUCCGUGGUGCGUGUGUGCGCAUGGAAGACGGGGUGAGGUCCCUUGUUGUCGUGUGUGGCAGGAGACGGGGAGGUCCCUGUGUGUCGGGUGUGUAAAAAAGCAGAGGAACGGUGGAGUCCUGUGUGUCCGUGUGUGCAGAGACUGGAGGUCCCUGUGUGUCUGUGUGUGCAGAGAGACGGAGGUCCCUGUGUGUCGUGUGUAUGCAAGGAGACACGGGGAGGUCCUGUGUGUCGUGUGUGCAGAGGAGACGGGAGGUACCUGUGUGUCGCGUGGCAGAGGAGACGGGGAGUCCCUGUGUGUCGUGUGGCGGAGAGAUGGUGGAGUCCUCUGGUGUCGUGUGUGCUAGGAGACAGGGAGGAUCCCUGUCACUGGUGUUUGCUGUGGCAGGAGAUGGUGAGGUCCCUGGUGUCUUGUGUGUGCAAGGAGACAGGGGAGUCCUGUGUGUCGUGUGUGCAGAGGAGACGGGUAGGCUUCCCUGUGUGUCGUGUGUGCGGUAGGAAGACGGGGAGGUUCCUGUGUGUCGUGUGGUGCAGGAGACGGGUGAAAGUCCCUGGGUGUCAUGUGUGCAGGAGACGGGAUGUCCCGUGGGUGUCGUUGUGUGCGGAGGAACAGGGAGGUCCGUGUGUCGUUCGUGCAGUGAGACUGGGGAGGUCCCGUGUGUUGUGUGUGCAGGAGACGGGCGGAGGUCCCUGGUUCCGUGUGUGGCGCAGGAGACGGGAGUCCUGGGUGUCGGUGGUGUGCGCAGAGGAGACGGGGAGGUCCCUGUGUAUCGUGUGUGCGGAGGAGAUGGUGAGGUCCGCUGGGUGUCUCUGUGUGCUCAGGAGACAGGGAGGUCCUGUCCCUGGGUGUUUGCUGUGCGCAGGAGAUGGGCGAGGUCCCUGGGUGUCGUGUGUGCUCAGGAGACAGGGAGGUCCCUGUCCCUGGUGUCGUUGUGUCGCAGCGAGAUGCGUGAGUGUCCCUGGUGUCGUGUGUGCGCCGAGAACAGGGAAGGUCCCUGUUCCCUGUGGUUGUCUGUGUCGCAGGAGAUGGGAGGUCCCGUGUGUGUCGUGUGUGCAGGAGAGGGCGGAGGUCCCUGUGUGUCGUGUGUGCGCAGGAGACGGGGAGGUCCCUGUGUGUCGUGUGUGCGCAGGAGACGGGAAGGUCCCUGUGUGUCGCUGUGUGCGUGAGGAGACGGGGAGGUCCCUGUGUGUCGUGUGUGCGGAGACAGGGAGGUCCCUGGUUCGUGUGUGCGGAGGAGCGGGAGGUCCCUGUGUGCGUGUGU
RNAcentral lists this long non-coding RNA (1398 nucleotides) under Pan troglodytes (chimpanzee). RNAcentral describes it as "lncRNA (ENSPTRG00000053939.1)". Lineage: Eukaryota; Metazoa; Chordata; Mammalia; Primates; Hominidae. The record is from RNAcentral.